AAAAGCAGAUGGAAGGCAGACACCAAAACAGAAGCCUAACACAGCCCUUCUGCUUGUUCCUUAAGGUCCUCCACUUCAGCAUGAUGCUGCCAAAAAAAAUGAGGCCACUGCUGUUCCUGGUUUCCCAGAUGGCCAUCUUUGCUCUAUUAUUCCAUCUAUAUGGCCACAACUUCAACUCCCUGUCCACGAAGGAGGAGCCCAAGCCCAUGCAUGUGCUGGUCCUGUCUUCCUGGCGCUCUGGCUCCUCUUUUGUGGGACAGCUUUUUGGGCAGCACCCGGAUGUCUUCUACCUGAUGGAACCUGCCUGGCACAUCUGGAUGACCUUCACAGAGAGCACUGCCUGGAGGCUGCAUAUGGCGGCCAGGGAUCUGAUACGUGCCAUUUUUCUGUGUGACAUGAGUGUCUUUGAUGCCUACAUGAAACCUGGUCCUCGGAGACAGUCCAGUCUCUUCCAGUGGGAGGGCAGCCGGGCCCUGUGUUCCCCGCCUGCCUGCAAUGUGUUCUCGCGGGAUAUGAUCAUACCUCAGGCUCACUGCAAACUUCUGUGCAGUAAACAGCCUUUUGAGGUGGUAGAGAAGGCCUGUCGCUCCUAUAGCCACGUGGUGCUCAAGGAGGUGCGCUUCUUCAAUCUGCAAGUGCUCUACCCACUGCUGAGAGACCCUUCCCUCAAUCUGCACAUCGUGCACCUGGUGCGGGACCCCCGGGCAGUGUUCCGUUCUCGAGAACACACCACAGAGGAACUCAUGACUGACAGCCGCAUUGUGAUGGGGCAGCAGGGGGAGAAACUCAAGAAGGAGGACCAGCCCUACUAUGUGAUGCAGGUCAUCUGCCAAAGCCAGAUGGAGAUCUACAAGGCUGUGCAGUCCUUGCCCACAGCUCUGAGGCAACGCUACAUGCUCAUACGCUAUGAGGACCUGGUCCGGGACCCCCUUGGCCGUACUGACCAAAUGUAUAAAUUUGUGGGGUUGAAAUUCUUGCCCCAGCUCCAGACCUGGGUGUACAACAGCACUCGAGGCAAGGGCAUGGGUAGUCAUGCCUUCCACACUAAUGCCAGGAAUGCCCUCAACGUCUCUCAGGCCUGGCGCUGGACCUUGCCUUAUGCAAAGGUUUCUCAACUUCAAAAAGUCUGCAAUGAUACCAUGACUUUGCUGGGCUACCACCUUGUCAGAUCUGAGCAAGAGCAGAGAAACCUGUCACUGGAUCUUCUGUCUACCUAGACCCCUUCCAAGUAAGUCUGCCAAGAGGGCUGAGGAGACUCUGUCCCCACUUGGCACCAGCCUCAGCCACAUUAACUGAAGUCUUCUGAGCCUUAAUUACAUUU
This 1321-nucleotide long non-coding RNA is filed under the name Lynx pardinus (Iberian lynx). The record is from RNAcentral. Lineage: Eukaryota; Metazoa; Chordata; Mammalia; Carnivora; Felidae.